This 1405-nucleotide ribosomal RNA is filed under the name uncultured bacterium. Its description in RNAcentral is "bacterial SSU rRNA". It matches the Rfam family "Bacterial small subunit ribosomal RNA". The record is from RNAcentral.
AGAGUUUGAUCCUGGCUCAAGAUGAACGCUAGCGGCAGGCUUAACACAUGCAAGUCGAGGGGCAGCGGGGAGGAAGCUUGCUUUCUCCGCCGGCGACCGGCGCACGGGUGAGUAACACGUAUGCAACCUGCCCCUGUCAGGGGGACAACCCGCCGAAAGGCGGGCUAAACCCGCGUACAUGCCACCGGGGCAUCCCGGAGGCAGGAAAGGCUUCAGCCGGACAGGGAUGGGCAUGCGGCGCAUUAGGCAGUAGGCGGGGUAACGGCCCACCUAACCGACGAUGCGUAGGGGUUCUGAGAGGAAGGUCCCCCACACUGGUACUGAGACACGCACCAGACUCCUACGGGAGGCAGCAGUGAGGAAUAUUGGUCAAUGGCCGAGAGGCUGAACCAGCCAAGUCGCGUGAGGGAAGACGGUCCUAUGGAUUGUAAACCUCUUUUGUCGGGGAGCAAAAGGCGCCACGUGUGGCGUUCCGAGAGUACCCGAAGAAAAAGCAUCGGCUAACUCCGUGCCAGCAGCCGCGGUAAUACGGAGGAUGCGAGCGUUAUCCGGAUUUAUUGGGUUUAAAGGGUGCGCAGGCGGAAGAUCAAGUCAGCGGUAAAAUUGAGAGGCUCAACCUCUUCGAGCCGUUGAAACUGGUUUUCUUGAGUGAGCGAGAAGUAUGCGGAAUGCGUGGUGUAGCGGUGAAAUGCAUAGAUAUCACGCAGAACUCCGAUUGCGAAGGCAGCAUACCGGCGCUCAACUGACGCUCAUGCACGAAAGUGUGGGUAUCGAACAGGAUUAGAUACCCUGGUAGUCCACACAGUAAACGAUGAAUAAAAAUUGUUCGGGGAGAAUGAUCCCCUGAGUGAUACAGCGAAAGCGUUAAGUUUUCCUCUUGGGGAGUACGCCGGCAACGGUGAAACUCAAAGGAAUUGACGGGGGCCCGCACAAGCGGAGGAACAUGUGGUUUAAUUCGAUGAUACGCGAGGAACCUUACCCGGGCUCAAACGGGGAGUGACUCAGGCAGAGACGCCUGUUUCCCACGGGACACUCCCCGAGGUGCUGCAUGGUUGUCGUCAGCUCGUGCCGUGAGGUGUCGGCUUAAGUGCCAUAACGAGCGCAACCCCCGCGUGCAGUUGCUAACAGACAACGCUGAGGACUCUGCACGGACUGCCGGCGCAAGCCGCGAGGAAGGCGGGGAUGACGUCAAAUCAGCACGGCCCUUACGUCCGGGGCGACACACGUGUUACAAUGGGUGGUACAGCGGGAAGCCAGGCGGCGACGCCGAGCGGAACCCGAAAUCCACUCUCAGUUCGGAUCGGAGUCUGCAACCCGACUCCGUGAAGCUGGAUUCGCUAGUAAUCGCGCAUCAGCCAUGGCGCGGUGAAUACGUUCCCGGGCCUUGCACUCACCGCCCGUCAAG